Molecule: unclassified non-coding RNA, 200 nt
Filed under: soil metagenome
Description: partial contains internal transcribed spacer 2 and large subunit ribosomal RNA
Source: RNAcentral
CACAGUCCGCUCCUCUUAAAUGCAUUAGCUGGAUUCUCGGUGAGCUCGGUUCCACUCGGCGUGAUAAGUAUCACUCGCGAGGACACCCGUUAAAAAAAGGUGGCCAGGCCCGCGGAUGAACCGCUUCCAACGGUCUAUUGAUUUAGACAAUAAAUUUACGAUCCGAUCUCAAAUCAGGUAGGACUACCCGCUGAACUUAA